AGUGAACGCUGGCGGCAGGCCUAACACAUGCAAGUCGAACGGCCGCACAGUAAGCUUUUGCCUUUACGGGUGGCGAGUGGCGGAUGGGUGACGCAUACAUCACCAUCUUAUUUUUCUUGGGUAAUAUCGUGGAGCCGCUUCUACUACUAGCGCAUAUGUUCUACCGCUGGAUUCAAUAGUUCAUGACGCCUUUGCUGUCUCAUUUAGCUGGAUCCGCGUCGGAUUAGCUAGUUGGUAAGGUAACGGCCUACCAAGGCGACGAUGCGUAGCCGAGCUGAGAGGGUGAUCGGCCACACUGGAACUGAGACACGGUCCAGACUCCUACGGGAGGCAGCAGUAGGGAAUAUUCGACAAUGGGCGAAAGCCUGAUGGAGCCAUGCCGCGUGAGUGAAGAAGGCCUUCGGAUCGUAAAGCCCUGUUGUUAGGGAAGAAAAGCAGUAGAAGAAUACACGGCCGUCUUGACGGUACCCAAUCAGAAAGCACCGGCUAACUACGUG
RNAcentral lists this ribosomal RNA (497 nucleotides) under uncultured bacterium. RNAcentral describes it as "partial 16S ribosomal RNA". It matches the Rfam family "Bacterial small subunit ribosomal RNA", at positions 29 to 507 of the family's 1533-position model. The record is from RNAcentral.